RNAcentral lists this non-coding RNA (90 nucleotides) under Actinoplanes friuliensis. Its description in RNAcentral is "Glycine sequence". It matches the Rfam family "Glycine riboswitch aptamer". From Rfam's summary of the family: This family represents the bacterial glycine riboswitch. Glycine riboswitches usually consist of two metabolite-binding aptamers domains with similar structures in tandem. The aptamers cooperatively bind glycine to regulate the expression of downstream genes. Lineage: Bacteria; Bacillati; Actinomycetota; Actinomycetes; Micromonosporales; Micromonosporaceae. The record is from RNAcentral. RNAcentral also lists the same sequence under 1 other name.
UACACCCGCGCGGGAGAGAUCACGAAGCUGUGGCGCCGAAGGGGCAAAUCCUCCCCGGAACCUCUCAGGCAAAAGGACCGUGUGGGUAGG